Molecule: ribosomal RNA, 460 nt
Filed under: uncultured bacterium
Lineage: Bacteria
Description: bacterial SSU rRNA
Rfam family: Bacterial small subunit ribosomal RNA
Source: RNAcentral
CCUACGGGAGGCAGCAGUAAGGAAUAUUGGACAAUGGUGGAAACACUGAUCCAGCCAUGCCGCGUGAAGGAUGACGGCCCUAUGGGUUGUAAACUUCUUUUGUACGGGAAAAAACCUCUUUACGUGUAAAGAGCUGAUUGUACUGUAAGAAUAAGGAUCGGCUAACUCCGUGCCAGCAGCCGCGGUAAUACGGAGGAUCCAAGCGUUAUCCGGAUUCAUUGGGUUUAAAGGGUGCGUAGGCGGAAUGAUAAGUCAGUGGUGAAAGCCUGCAGCUUAACUGCAGAACUGCCAUUGAUACUGUCAAUCUUGAGUACAUUUGAUGUGGGCGGAAUGUGUCAUGUAGCGGUGAAAUGCUUAGAUAUGACACAGAACACCGAUUGCGAAGGCAGCUCACAAAACUGUAACUGACGCUGAGGCACGAAAGCGUGGGUAUCAAACAGGAUUAGAUACCCGGGUAGUC